CUAGUGAACCAUCAACCUGGAUAUCAACAUUCACACAUUCUCAAUCAUCAACCACAAUCAAUCAUCAACAACUCGUCAUGCAAUAAACUUGAACCAUUAUCCGAAUAAGUGUACAAGCCAAGCAUAGACGCAAACAUAAAUUCAACCUAUACUACUAAUUCAAAGUACAAAAAAAAAAAAGAAAAAGAAAAAUCCGUGUCAUAUGUUGGCAUCUAUCUAUAGAUACUCUCAGCGCAGAUCCUCAUCUGAGUCAUCAUCAUCCUCAUCCUCCCAGGCAUCCUCAAAGUCUUCAUCUUCCUGGUCAUUGUCCUGUCCUCCUGAAGUUCCAG
RNAcentral lists this long non-coding RNA (329 nucleotides) under Vigna radiata. Its description in RNAcentral is "long non-coding RNA (VRAD_LNC016307)". Lineage: Eukaryota; Viridiplantae; Streptophyta; Magnoliopsida; Fabales; Fabaceae. The record is from RNAcentral.